UGGGGAAUUUUGGACAAUGGGCGAAAGCCUGAUCCAGCAAUGCCGCGUGUGUGAAGAAGGCCUUCGGGUUGUAAAGCACUUUUGUCCGGAAAGAAAUCCUUGGCUCUAAUACAGUCGGGGGAUGACGGUACCGGAAGAAUAAGCACCGGCUAACUACGUGCCAGCAGCCGCGGUAAUACGUAGGGUGCAAGCGUUAAUCGGAAUUACUGGGCGUAAAGCGUGCGCAGGCGGUUUGCUAAGACCGAUGUGAAAUCCCCGGGCUCAACCUGGGAACUGCAUUGGUGACUGGCAGGCUAGAGUGUGGCAGAGGGGGGUAGAAUUCCACGUGUAGCAGUGAAAUGCGUAGAGAUGUGGAGGAAUACCGAUGGCGAAGGCAGCCCCCUGGGCCAAUACUGACGCUCAUGCACGAAAGCGUGGGGAGCAAACAGGAUUAGAUACCCUGGUAGUCCACGCCCUAAACGAUGUCAACUAGUUGUUGGGGAUUCAUUUCCUUAGUAACGUAGCUAACGCGUGAAGUUGACCGCCUGGGGAGUACGGUCGCAAGAUUAAAACUCAAAGGAAUUGACGGGGUCAUAGCUGUUUCC
RNAcentral lists this ribosomal RNA (584 nucleotides) under uncultured bacterium. Its description in RNAcentral is "partial 16S ribosomal RNA". It matches the Rfam family "Bacterial small subunit ribosomal RNA", at positions 355 to 937 of the family's 1533-position model. The record is from RNAcentral.